CACAAUAAAAUAUGAAGGCUGUACGCGGCUGUGCUCUCGGGCCAGUUUUUGCGGAGGCUGAAUUAUUUAUUACCCUUGUCUUUUGCGCACUUGUUGUUUCCUGGGCGGGUUCGCCCGCCACCAGGACCACAUCAUAAACCUUUUUUUAUGCAGUUGCAAUCAGCGUCAGUAUAACAAAUGUAAAUCAUUUA
This 191-nucleotide unclassified non-coding RNA is filed under the name soil metagenome. RNAcentral's name for it is "partial internal transcribed spacer 1". The record is from RNAcentral.